Molecule: non-coding RNA, 1023 nt
Organism: Paralichthys olivaceus (Japanese flounder)
Lineage: Eukaryota; Metazoa; Chordata; Actinopteri; Pleuronectiformes; Paralichthyidae
Source: RefSeq, a predicted model, not a curated record
ACACAUAAAUUACAGGUGAGAUAAAAUGUGUUUUCUCUCUUUCAGUUUUCACUACUGGCUGAAAAACUUGCACAAGAGCGACAGGAUAUCCAGGUUCGGAAAAAAGCUCAGGAAAAGGCCCUGCUGAAGAUGAAGCGAGAGCUGCGUACCAGGAUGGAGCGCGAGAUUGGCGAACUGCAGAAAAUAAUCAUCCAGAAUGACGAGGACGACUACUUCCAGGACCUGGAUGUCCAGCGGCUGCGCAAUCGCGUCCACAUGGCUUCGUUCCAGUACAACAAGAGUUAUCUGCACUGAUCAGGGAGCAGGACCAUCGCCAGACUCCAUCAAUUAAGGCUGGAUUUUUAUCAUAUAAAAAAGUUGCGUCACAUCUAAGGGUACGACAUAUCGAUGACUUAAAUGAACCCUCUUCUCAGGCGUCUUCCUUUGUAGAUGAGAAGAGACUAUCCUGAUUAUUGAUUGAUGAACUGAACACGCUAACUAAACGUAGCUACUAGCGAACUCUUCCUCUCACCUCAGCUGCUAUACCUGAACUUGAAGACACCUUGGGCCAAGUCCCUUUCUCUUCCAUGGUUUUAAUACUUGGUAACUAAGAAUGUUUUAAAGUGGUUCCCUCACUGUGUGUGUGUGUGUGUGCGUGUGCGCGCGUGCUGUUACUGUAGCAGAAAAUUAGUAAACCUGUUCUUCCUCUUGCCAAAUAGGAACCACCAAUGCAAAGUUAGUAUGAAUGUCACCGACAAAAUUUUUAACUUCCUCUCGUUUUACCUUGUGCGAUGUCUUCCUUUAAUAUUUUAACCAUGCCAGCGGAUUAUUUAUUUUUUACCUUUAAUGUUUCUGUAAUUUUUUAAUGGAUCCUGGUGUUGUGCUUUCUGAUCACCAGGGGGCGAUGAUAAUCAAUGUUUGAUGAGCUCUGUUGAGAUUCAUGACCGUGAUGUUAACACACUGUCCUCUCAUGACUGUGCAUAGAUCUAAUGAGCACGUGUCCUGUGUUCCCUCAUUAAACAUGUGGGCUCCCUCAUCCUCUCA